This is an unclassified non-coding RNA of Carlito syrichta (Philippine tarsier), 104 nucleotides long. It matches the Rfam family "Y RNA". Rfam says of the family: Y RNAs are components of the Ro ribonucleoprotein particle (Ro RNP), in association with Ro60 and La proteins. The Y RNAs and Ro60 and La proteins are well conserved, but the function of the Ro RNP is not known. In humans the RNA component can be one of four small RNAs -- hY1, hY3, hY4 and hY5. The record is from Ensembl. NCBI's taxonomy places the organism in Eukaryota, Metazoa, Chordata, Mammalia, Primates, Tarsiidae.
UGUUGAUAAAAACCUUGCAGUGGUGUUUACAACUAAUUGAUCACAGCCAUUUACAGAUUUCUUUGUUUCUUCUCCACUCCUACUGCUCCACUUAACAGCCUUAA